This 189-nucleotide non-coding RNA is filed under the name Rugosibacter sp. RNAcentral describes it as "6S RNA". It matches the Rfam family "6S / SsrS RNA". From Rfam's summary of the family: E. coli 6S RNA was the first non coding RNA to be sequenced, but its function was unknown until recently. The record is from RNAcentral. Lineage: Bacteria; Pseudomonadati; Pseudomonadota; Betaproteobacteria; Nitrosomonadales; Sterolibacteriaceae.
UUUCCCCUGCGGUGCGCGCCAAGGCCAUAUAUUCCUUGAACCAAUACGCAUGGCAUUGGCUGCUGACCGUAACGUCGUCGUUGUGAUUGCCCCUGGCCUCGUGCCAAUCGGUGAACCUGAAACGGCAGGGAGGCAGCCACUCUGAACUUCGGUUCAGGAUGCCGGCCAAACGGCACCAGCGGGGGGAUU